This 715-nucleotide ribosomal RNA is filed under the name Escherichia coli. RNAcentral describes it as "bacterial SSU rRNA". It matches the Rfam family "Bacterial small subunit ribosomal RNA", at positions 830 to 1533 of the family's 1533-position model. The record is from RNAcentral. Lineage: Bacteria; Pseudomonadati; Pseudomonadota; Gammaproteobacteria; Enterobacterales; Enterobacteriaceae.
CCUUGAGGCGUGGCUUCCGGAGCUAACGCGUUAAGUCGACCGCCUGGGGAGUACGGCCGCAAGGUUAAAACUCAAAUGAAUUGACGGGGGCCCGCACAAGCGGUGGAGCAUGUGGUUUAAUUCGAUGCAACGCGAAGAACCUUACCUGGUCUUGACAUCCACGGAAGUUUUCAGAGAUGAGAAUGUGCCUUCGGGAACCGUGAGACAGGUGCUGCAUGGCUGUCGUCAGCUCGUGUUGUGAAAUGUUGGGUUAAGUCCCGCAACGAGCGCAACCCUUAUCCUUUGUUGCCAGCGGUCCGGCCGGGAACUCAAAGGAGACUGCCAGUGAUAAACUGGAGGAAGGUGGGGAUGACGUCAAGUCAUCAUGGCCCUUACGACCAGGGCUACACACGUGCUACAAUGGCGCAUACAAAGAGAAGCGACCUCGCGAGAGCAAGCGGACCUCAUAAAGUGCGUCGUAGUCCGGAUUGGAGUCUGCAACUCGACUCCAUGAAGUCGGAAUCGCUAGUAAUCGUGGAUCAGAAUGCCACGGUGAAUACGUUCCCGGGCCUUGUACACACCGCCCGUCACACCAUGGGAGUGGGUUGCAAAAGAAGUAGGUAGCUUAACCUUCGGGAGGGCGCUUACCACUUUGUGAUUCAUGACUGGGGUGAAGUCGUAACAAGGUAACCGUAGGGGAACCUGCGGUUGGAUCACCUCCUUACCUUAAAGAAGC